This 468-nucleotide ribosomal RNA is filed under the name uncultured bacterium. RNAcentral describes it as "partial 16S ribosomal RNA". It matches the Rfam family "Bacterial small subunit ribosomal RNA", at positions 28 to 507 of the family's 1533-position model. The record is from RNAcentral.
GACGAACGCUGGCGGCGUGCUUAACACAUGCAAGUCGAACGGAAAGGCCCUGCUUUUGUGGGGUGCUCGAGUGGCGAACGGGUGAGUAACACGUGAGUAACCUGCCCUUGACUUUGGGAUAACUUCAGGAAAAUGGGGCUAAUACCGGAUAGGAGCUCCUGCUGCAUGGUGGGGGUUGGAAAGUUUCGGCGGUUGGGGAUGGACUCGCGGCUUAUCAGCUUGUUGGUGGGGUAGUGGCUUACCAAGGCUUUGACGGGUAGCCGGCCUGAGAGGGGGACCGGCCACAUUGGGACUGAGAUACGGCCCAGACGCCUACGGGAGGCAGAAGUGGGGAAUAUUGCACAAUGGGCGGAAGCCUGAUGCAGCAACGCCGCGUGCGGGAUGACGGCCUUCGGGUUGUAAACCGCUUUCGCCUGUGACGAAGCGUGAGUGACGGUAAUGGGUAAAGAAGCACCGGCUAACUACGUG